GAUGAACGCUGGCGGCGUGCUUAACACAUGCAAGUCGAACGGAAAGGCUCCUGCUUGCAGGGGUACUCGAGUGGCGAACGGGUGAGUAACACGUGGGUGAUCUGCCCUGCACUUCGGGAUAAGCCUGGGAAACUGGGUCUAAUACCGGAUAGGACGAUGGUUUGGAUGCCAUUGUGGAAAGUUUUUUCGGUGUGGGAUGAGCUCGCGGCCUAUCAGCUUGUUGGUGGGGUAAUGGCCUACCAAGGCGUCGGCGGGUAGCCGGCCUGAGAGGGUGUACGGCCACAUUGGGACUGAGAUACGGCCCAGACUCCUACGGGAGGCAGCAGUGGGGAAUAUUGCACAAUGGGCGCAAGCCUGAUGCAGCGACGCCGCGUGGGGGAUGACGGCCUUCGGGUUGUAAACUCCUUUCGCUAGGGACGAAGCGCAAGUGACGGUACCUGGAGAAGAAGCACCGGCUAACUACGUG
Molecule: ribosomal RNA, 466 nt
Filed under: uncultured bacterium
Lineage: Bacteria
Description: partial 16S ribosomal RNA
Rfam family: Bacterial small subunit ribosomal RNA
Source: RNAcentral